RNAcentral lists this small RNA (125 nucleotides) under Marmota monax (woodchuck). The record is from RNAcentral. Lineage: Eukaryota; Metazoa; Chordata; Mammalia; Rodentia; Sciuridae.
GCUGGGCACCGUGGCACAUGCCUGUAAUCCCAGCUGCUUAGGAAGCUAAGGCAGGAGGAUCGCAAGUUCAAAGCCAGCUUCAGCAAAAGCCAGGCACUAAGCAACUCAGCGAGACCCUGUCUCUA